UGUAACUUCUUUUUUUUUAGAUUUUAAAAAGAUUUUUGUUUGUAGGAAUAAUCUGAGCACGUAUAUUAAUGAUCUAUAUAUUAUUAAAAAGAGGAUAGUUUGUCAUAUGAUUGUGACAAGUGACUUAAGUAGAUCUUGACACAUGUAAAAUUUUAGGAUAGAAAACCAAUUAUAAUAACUAAUAUUAAAAAAAUCCAAGUGGCAUCUCAAAUAGAAGGCAAGUGUUAUAUAUUUGGACAGAGCUAACUACCCUUGUAAUUAAUAUAAAUUUUGAAUUUGAUUUAAAUUUCAUUGGAAUUAUUUUAAGUUGAAUUGUGGUAACUGGUAACCGUGCAUUAUCCAAGGCACGUUGGACUCUCUUUUUUGGAGGUUUUCAGGUGAAUAACCAUUCACAUUUCAAUAAGAACAACUAUAUUUUAUUCUUUAAAUAGAAGGGAGUGUGGCCUAGGAUUAUUACAAGUUGUUAUGUUAAUUUAUUUAUUUAUUCAUUUGAAUUGACAUAUAAAAAAUAAAAAACAAAAGUACUUUUGGGUCAUCACAAUUCACAUCUUUACAUACUUUUAGGGUGAAAAUAUGUUGAAAGGACAGCACAUCUGCUAUUUUAAAAAAUCAAACAAAAAAACAAAAGGAUAAGGAAGAAAAGACCAAAAGAAAUUAACCCAAACCAACCCCCUCACCCACGUAUCCCUAACUUCCCAUUUCCCUGACUUCCCAAUCACCUUUAUUGCUUAUAGUUCUACUGUUUCUGUUUUCAUGUACUAAAAUAAGGAAUAGAGUCGAGAUACAAGAUAUGUAAACCAUGUUAAAAGUUACACAGAAAUAAUUUUGGAAGGUAUCAUGGAAGCAAAUGCCUUAAACCAAAAACAGAAAAUUACAUCAGAAGCUUGAUAAAAGUUCACGAUGUACCUAUACUGAAAGUUCUUUGAAUAUAAAUUAUUUACAUAUCUAGAUAAUACUAUUUUUGUUGAUAGAUUUAAGUUGAACUAUAAAAUAUAUUGAAUUGAAAGAAAAAAAAAUGUUGAUGUUGUUAGUUUUAUUUGAAAUAAAAGUGUUGUUAUACUCUAAUCAAUCUUAUAUUUAUGAUAAAACAUACUUUGAGCUGACAAAUUAAAUUUUGGAACGUGAAUGAUAUAGAAAUGCUAUAUAAUAGGAAGAAACUAGAACCGCAACUCUCCUCCCAAUUUUAAAAAAUAUAAACAUAGAUAUAAACCUAAAUCUUCUAUAAACUCAAAUACUUUGUUAAUACUACUCUUGCUACUUCUAUAAACUUUUUUUUUUUUAUUUGUUAAUACUAGACUCUUGCCACUUAGAUUUGGUUCUAAUUGGUUAUGUUUAUGUUGGUUUCAUGUAACUUCUUUUCUUUUCGAUUCUAAAAAGUUUUUUGUUUGUAGGAAUAAUAUAAGCACGUAUAUUAAUGAUUUAUAUAUUAUUAAAAAGAGAAUAGUUUGUCAUAGGAUUGUGAUAAGUGGCUUAACUAGAUCUUGACACAUGUAUAAUUUUAGGACAGAAAACCAAUUCUAUUAACUAAUUUUAAAAAGUCCAAGUGGCAUCUCAAAUAGAAGGCAAUUGUUAUAUAUUUGGACAAAGCUAACUAUCUUUGUAAUUAAUAUAACUUUUGAAUUUUAAAAUUUAGAAUUUGAUUUAAAUUUCUGGAAUUUUUUUAAAUUGAAUUGUAGUAACUGGUAACUCUGCAUAAUCCAAGGCACGUUGGACUCUCUUUUUUGGAGGUUUUAAGGUGAAUAACCAUUCACAUUUCAAUAAGAACAACUAUAUUUUAUUCUUUAAAUAAAAGGGAGUGUGGCCUAGGAUUAUUACAACUGGUUGUGUUAAUUUAUUUAUUUAUUCAUUUGAAUUGACAUAUAAAAAAAAAAACUUAUGUUUAGGUCAUCACAAUUCACAGCUUUACAUACAUUUAUGGUGAAAAUUUGUUGAAAAGAUAGCAUAUCUGUUAUUUUAAAAGAGAAAAAAAAAGGGAUAAGGAAGAAAAAGACCCAAACAAAUUUACCUAAACCAACCCCCCUCACCCACAUAUCUCUUACUUCCCAUUUCCCUAACUUCCCAAUCACCUUUAUCGCUUAUAGUUCCAAUGGUUCUGUUUUCAUGUACUAAAAUAAGCAAUAGAGUCGAGAUACAAGAUAUGUAAACCAUGUUAAAAGUUACGCAGAAAUAAUUUUGGAAGGUAUCAUGGAAGCAUUUACCUUAAAUCAAAAAUAGAAAAUUACAUUAGAAGCUAGAUAAAAGUUCAUGGUGUACCUAUACUGAACUUUCUUUGCAUAUAAAUUAUUUACAGUUCUAGAUAAUACUAUUUUUGUUGAUAGAUUUAAGUUGAACUAUAAAAUAUAUUGAAUUGAAAGAAAAAAAAAUUGAUGUUGUUAGUUUGAUUUGAAAUAAAAGUGUUGUUAUGCUCUAAUCAAUCUUAUCUUUGUGAUAAAACAUACUUUGAGCUUGAAUGAUAUAGAAAUGCUAUAUAAUUGGAAGAAACUAGAACCGCAGCUCUCCUCCCAAUUUAAUAAAUAUAAACAUCGAUAUAAACCCAAAUCUUGUAUAAACUAAAAUACUUUGUUAAUACUAGACUCUUGCUACUUCUAUAAACUUUUUUUUUUUUGGUUAAUACUAGUCUCUUGCUACUUAGAUGUUGUUGUAAUUGCUCAUGUUUAUGUUGGUUUCAUGUC
Long non-coding RNA from Lycium barbarum (goji berry), 2672 nucleotides. RefSeq lists it as uncharacterized. NCBI's taxonomy places the organism in Eukaryota, Viridiplantae, Streptophyta, Magnoliopsida, Solanales, Solanaceae. The record is from RefSeq and is a predicted model, not a curated record. The transcript has 3 exons.